GAGAAGCUUGCUUCUCUGAUGUUAGCGGCGGACGGGUGAGUAACACGUGGAUAACCUACCUAUAAGACUGGGAUAACUUCGGGAAACCGGAGCUAAUACCGGAUAAUAUUUUGAACCGCAUGGUUCAAAAGUGAAAGACGGUCUUGCUGUCACUUAUAGAUGGAUCCGCGCUGCAUUAGCUAGUUGGUAAGGUAACGGCUUACCAAGGCAACGAUGCAUAGCCGACCUGAGAGGGUGAUCGGCCACACUGGAACUGAGACACGGUCCAGACUCCUACGGGAGGCAGCAGUAGGGAAUCUUCCGCAAUGGGCGAAAGCCUGACGGAGCAACGCCGCGUGAGUGAUGAAGGUCUUCGGAUCGUAAAACUCUGUUAUUAGGGAAGAACAUAUGUGUAAGUAACUGUGCACAUCUUGACGGUACCUAAUCAGAAAGCCACGGCUAACUACGUGCCAGCAGCCGCGGUAAUACGUAGGUGGCAAGCGUUAUCCGGAAUUAUUGGGCGUAAAGCGCGCGUAGGCGGUUUUUUAAGUCUGAUGUGAAAGCCCACGGCUCAACCGUGGAGGGUCAUUGGAAACUGGAAAACUUGAGUGCAGAAGAGGAAAGUGGAAUUCCAUGUGUAGCGGUGAAAUGCGCAGAGAUAUGGAGGAACACCAGUGGCGAAGGCGACUUUCUGGUCUGUAACUGACGCUGAUGUGCGAAAGCGUGGGGAUCAAACAGGAUUAGAUACCCUGGUAGUCCACGCCGUAAACGAUGAGUGCUAAGUGUUAGGGGGUUUCCGCCCCUUAGUGCUGCAGCUAACGCAUUAAGCACUCCGCCUGGGGAGUACGACCGCAAGGUUGAAACUCAAAGGAAUUGACGGGGACCCGCACAAGCGGUGGAGCAUGUGGUUUAAUUCGAAGCAACGCGAAGAACCUUACCAAAUCUUGACAUCCUUUGACAACUCUAGAGAUAGAGCCUUCCCCUUCGGGGGACAAAGUGACAGGUGGUGCAUGGUUGUCGUCAGCUCGUGUCGUGAGAUGUUGGGUUAAGUCCCGCAACGAGCGCAACCCUUAAGCUUAGUUGCCAUCAUUAAGUUGGGCACUCUAAGUUGACUGCCGGUGACAAACCGGAGGAAGGUGGGGAUGACGUCAAAUCAUCAUGCCCCUUAUGAUUUGGGCUACACACGUGCUACAAUGGACAAUACAAAGGGCAGCGAAACCGCGAGGUCAAGCAAAUCCCAUAAAGUUGUUCUCAGUUCGGAUUGUAGUCUGCAACUCGACUACAUGAAGCUGGAAUCGCUAGUAAUCGUAGAUCAGCAUGCUACGGUGAAUACGUUCCCGGGUCUUGUACACACCGCCCGUCACACCACGAGAGUUUGUAACACCCGAAGCCGGUGGAGUAACCUUUUAGGAGCUAGCCGUCGAAGGUNGGACAAAUGAUUGGGGUGAAGUCGUAACAAGGUAGCCGUAUCGGAAGGUGCGGCUGGAUCACCUCCUUUCUA
This 1480-nucleotide ribosomal RNA is filed under the name Staphylococcus aureus. RNAcentral's name for it is "bacterial SSU rRNA". It matches the Rfam family "Bacterial small subunit ribosomal RNA". The record is from RNAcentral. Lineage: Bacteria; Bacillati; Bacillota; Bacilli; Caryophanales; Staphylococcaceae.